AGAACGAACGCUGGCGGCAUGCCUAAUACAUGCAAGUCGAACGAACUCUUCGGAGUUAGUGGCGCACGGGUGCGUAACGCGUGGGAAUCUGCCCUUGGGUUCGGAAUAACAGUUGGAAACGACUGCUAAUACCGGAUGAUGACGAAAGUCCAAAGAUUUAUCGCCCAGGGAUGAGCCCGCGUAGGAUUAGCUAGUUGGUGAGGUAAAGGCUCACCAAGGCUACGAUCCUUAGCUGGUCUGAGAGGACGAUCAGCCACACUGGGACUGAGACACGGCCCAGACUCCUACGGGAGCAGCAGUAGGGAAUAUGGACAGUGGGGCAACCCUGAUCCAGCAAUGCCGCGUGAGUGAGUGAAGGUCCGUUAGGUUAGUAAAGUCUUCUUUUAACCGAGUAUAGAUAAUGACAGUAGUCGG
RNAcentral lists this ribosomal RNA (414 nucleotides) under uncultured soil bacterium. RNAcentral describes it as "bacterial SSU rRNA". It matches the Rfam family "Bacterial small subunit ribosomal RNA", at positions 26 to 482 of the family's 1533-position model. The record is from RNAcentral.